Molecule: ribosomal RNA, 253 nt
Filed under: uncultured prokaryote
Description: partial 16S ribosomal RNA
Rfam family: Bacterial small subunit ribosomal RNA
Source: RNAcentral
UACGGAGGGUGCAAGCGUUGUCCGGAUUUAUUGGGUUUAAAGGGUGCGUAGGUGGCCUGUUAAGUCAGGGGUGAAAGACGGUAGCUUAACUAUCGCAGUGCCCUUGAUACUGAUGAGCUUGAAUGCAGCUGAGGUAGGCGGAAUGUGACAAGUAGCGGUGAAAUGCAUAGAUAUGUCACAGAACACCGAUUGCGAAGGCAGCUUACUAUGGUUUGAUUGACACUGAGGCACGAAAGCGUGGGGAUCAAACAGG